UAUCUCUGUAGAGUCUGCAUAUCAAUAAGCGGAGGAAAAGAAACUAACAAGGAUUCCCUUAGUAACGGCGAGUGAAGCGGGAAGAGCUCAAAUUUGAAAUCUUCAAGGUUCUACCUUGACGAAUUGUAGUUUAAAGAAGUGUUUUCUGUUAGAUGAGUAGCAAAAGUUCCUUGGAAUGGGACAUCAUAGAGGGUGAGAAUCCCGUAUUUGGUUAUUCAUUCUAGCUUUGUGAUACACUUUCAAAGAGUCGGAUUGUUUGGGAAUGCAGUCCAAAAUGGGUGGUAAAUUUCAUCUAAAGCUAAAUAUUGGCGAGAGACCGAUAGCGAACAAGUACCGUGAGGGAAAGAUGAAAAGAACUUUGAAAAGAGAGUUAAACAGUACGUGAAAUUGUCAAAAGGGAAGCGUUUGACACCAGUGUUGUUUUUCCGAAAAUCAAUUACGAAUGGCUUGAUUCUGUGUUGUAUUGACCUUAUCAGCUUUCUGCACUUUUUUCGAGUCUUUCUUAAUGCACUUUUUCGGUUAACAAGUCAACAUCAAUUUCUUUUGUUGUAAAAGAGUAUUCGGAAGGUGGCUUUCUUUUCGGAGAAAGUGUUUAUAGCCCUAUACUUCUACAAUCGGAGAGAUUGAGGUCUGCAGCGUAGAUCCUUCGGGGUUAGAUACACUUGUGCUAAGUUGUAGCUUUUCAUAGACAACUUGUUGACUAUGUUUAGUCAUGCGGCUUACUCGCUUGUGCUAUUUUACCUACGCUUAGGAUGUUGACGAGACUGUCGAUCUC
Molecule: ribosomal RNA, 775 nt
Filed under: uncultured Neocallimastigales
Lineage: Eukaryota; Fungi; Neocallimastigomycota; Neocallimastigomycetes; Neocallimastigales
Description: partial large subunit ribosomal RNA
Rfam family: Eukaryotic large subunit ribosomal RNA
Source: RNAcentral